This 255-nucleotide ribosomal RNA is filed under the name uncultured bacterium. RNAcentral's name for it is "partial 16S ribosomal RNA". It matches the Rfam family "Bacterial small subunit ribosomal RNA", at positions 524 to 776 of the family's 1533-position model. The record is from RNAcentral.
UACAUGGGGUGCAAACGUUUGCUCGGAAUUAUUGGGCGUAAAGCGCACGUAGGCGGUUCGUUAAGUCGGAUGUGAAAGCCCUCGGCUCAACUGAGGAAGUGCACCCGAAACUGGCGAGCUUGAGUACGAAAGAGGAUCGCGGAAUUCCCGGUGUAGAGGUGAAAUUCGUAGAUAUCGGGAGGAACACCGGUGGCGAAGGCGGCCAAUCUGGACGGAUACUGACGCUGAGACGCGAAAGCGUGGGUAGCAAACAGG